UACGUAGGUGGCAAGCGUUAUCCGGAUUUAUUGGGCGUAAAGCGAGCGCAGGCGGUUUUCUAAGUCUGAUGUGAAAGCCUUCGGCUUAACCGGAGAAGUGCAUCGGAAACUGGAUAACUUGAGUGCAAGAGAGGACAGUGGAACUCCAUGUGUAGCGGUGGAAUGCGUAGAUAUAUGGAAGAACACCAGUGGCGAAGGCGGCUGUCUAGCUUGUAACUGACGCUGAGGCUCGAAAGCAUGGGUAGCGAAC
Molecule: ribosomal RNA, 250 nt
Filed under: uncultured bacterium
Lineage: Bacteria
Description: partial 16S ribosomal RNA
Rfam family: Bacterial small subunit ribosomal RNA
Source: RNAcentral